GUGGGGAAUAUUGGACAAUGGGCGAAAGCCUGAUCCAGCCAUGCCGCGUGAGUGAUGAAGGCCUUAGGGUUGUAAAGCUCUUUCAGUAGGGAAGAUAAUGACGGUACCUACAGAAGAAGCCCCGGCUAACUUCGUGCCAGCAGCCGCGGUAAUACGAUGGGGGCUAGCGUUGUUCGGAUUUACUGGGCGUAAAGCGCACGUAGGCGGAUUGGUCAGUUAGAGGUGAAAUCCUGGAGCUCAACUCCAGAACUGCCUUUAAUGCUGCCAGUCUAGAGUCCAGAAGAGGUGAGUGGAACUCCUAGUGUAGAGGUGGGAUUCGUAGAUAUUAGGAAGAACACCAGUGGCGAAGGCGGCUAACUGGUCUGGUACUGACGCAGAGUUGCGAAAGCGUGGGGAGCAAACAGGAUUAGAAACCCUGGUAGUCC
This 425-nucleotide ribosomal RNA is filed under the name uncultured bacterium. RNAcentral's name for it is "partial 16S ribosomal RNA". It matches the Rfam family "Bacterial small subunit ribosomal RNA", at positions 354 to 796 of the family's 1533-position model. The record is from RNAcentral.